UCCUGCCAGUAGUCAUAUGCUUGUCUUAAAGAUUAAGCCAUGCAAGUCUAAGUAUAAGCGAUUAUACAGUGAAACUGCGGAAGGCUCAUUAAAUCAGUUAUAAUUUGUUUGAUAAUAUUUGGGUAACCAAUUUGGAUAACUGUAGUAAUUCUAGAGCUAAUACAUGAUAAGAUCCCUAACGUAAGAAAGGGAGCGUUUAUACGUAAUUAAAAGCGAUAAAUUAGGGUAAAACUUAAUUUUAAUAGAUGAAUUAGUAUAAAAUAGUGCAGACCGCAUUGCCUUGAGCAGGCGGCGAUACAUUCAAGUUUCUGCCCUAUCAACUUUGAAGGUAAUAUAUAGGAUUACCUUGGUGAUAACGGGUGACGGGGAAUUAGGGUUCGAUUCCGGAGAGGGCGCCUGAGAAAUGGCGACUACUUCCAAGGAAGGCAGCAGGCGCGCAAAUUACCCAAUCUCAAUACGAGGAGGUAGUGACAAUAAAUAACAAUGCAGGUCCUUUAUGGAUCAGCAAUUGGAAUGAAUACAAUUUAAACCAAUUAAUAAGGAACAAUUGGAGGGCAAGUCUGGUGCCAGCAGCCGCGGUAAUUCCAGCUCCAAUAGCGUAUAUUAAAGUUGUUGUAGUUAAAAAGCUCGUAGUUGGAUUUUUGUAUCAAAUUUUAUUAUUUUGUCGGAAGAUGAAAUAAUUUAAUUGAUUACAUUUUUUUCGGAUUACCACAUUCUGCUCUUAAAUGAGUGGAAUGUAAAUUUUAAAAGGUACCGAAUAAUUUACUUUGAAGAAAUUAGAGUGUUCAAAGCAGGCAGAAGCCUGAAUAUAUUAGCAUGGUAUAAUAAAAUAAGACCCGAUAAAUAAGUUUUUGUCGCAAUUAAUUUAUUGGGUAAUGAUUAAUAGAGAUAGUUGGGGACGUUCAUAUUCCAGGGUUAGAGGUGAAAUUCUUGGAUCCUUGGAAGAUGCACUUAUGCGAAAGCAUUCGUCAAGGAUGUUUUCAUUAAUCAAGAACGAAAGUUAGGGGAUCGAAGACGAUCAGAUACCGUCGUAGUCUUAACAGUAAACUAUACCGACCAGAGAUUGUAGGACGUUACACGGAUGACUCCUUCAGCACCUUGUGAGAAAUCAAAAGUUUUUGGGUUCUGGGGGGAGUAUGGUCGCAAGGCUGAAACUUAAAGGAAUUGACGGAAGGGCACCACCAGGAGUGGAGCCUGCGGCUUAAUUUGACUCAACACGGGGAAACUUACCAAGUCAAGACAUAGUAAGGAUUGACAGAUUAAUAGCUCUUUCUUGAUUCUAUGGGUGGUGGUGCAUGGCCGUUCUUAGUUGGUGGAGUGAUUUGUCUGGUUAAUUCCGAUAACGAACGAGACCUCAGCAUACUAAAUAGAUAAGAAAAAUAUCUAUUGGGUGAAGUAAAUUAAUAGAGUAAACUUGUUUUAUUCUUUAAUUAAUGGAUCCUUGAUAAUUUUUUUGAAAUUCUUCUUAGAUGGACUGCUUAUGUGUAAUAAGUGGAAGUUUGAGGCAAUAACAGGUCUGUGAUGCCCUUAGAUGUCUUGGGCUGCACGCGCGCUACAAUGAUUAACUCAACGAGUUAAUAUCCUAUACUAAAAAGUAUGGGUAAUCUCUUAAAAUUAGUCGUGAUGGGGAUAGAUUAUUGUAAUUAUUAUUCUUGAACGAGGAAUUCCUAGUAAGUGCGGUUCAUCACACCGCGUUGAUUACGUCCCUGCCCUUUGUCCACACCGCCCGUCGCUCCUACCGAUUGAAUGAUCCGGUGAAAUGUCGAGAGUAUAAAGAAUUAUCUUCAGCAAUGAAGGUAUCUUUAAGCAAACUUCAGUAAACCUUAUCAUUUAGAGGAAGGAGAAGUCGUAACAAGGUCUCCGUAGGUGAACCUGC
This 1876-nucleotide ribosomal RNA is filed under the name Schizoplasmodiopsis amoeboidea. RNAcentral describes it as "SSU rRNA". It matches the Rfam family "Eukaryotic small subunit ribosomal RNA". Lineage: Eukaryota; Evosea; Variosea; Cavosteliida. The record is from RNAcentral.